UUGCAACCUCUCCAUUUCCAGACCAAGCUGGAGACCAGAAGCAAAGUUCUGCUGGGGGGUGAAGAGAGAAGGAGAAAGAGGAAGCCCUGAGGCUAUAGAAACACCCUGAGACUGUAUCUGAUUAUUUCCUCCUGUCUUCAUCUCAGAGGUACCCCUGCUGCAGCUGAUACGGAUGGAGUGGAGGGAGCCAGGCUCCCAUCCCAGUUCAGUGAAACCUGGAGGUCAAUAUCACACCUUUCCUGGAGGAUAAAAGCUCCUGUACCACCAGAGGGCACUUUGGCAGUGUUUCAAAUCUGACAUCAUCACAGCCCCUGCGAACCUCUGGAGUUGAAGUGAAAUCUUCACCACCUCUCCUGAAAUCCAGGAGCUGGGGACUGUGGGGGCUGAGAGACACUGACGUCACCUCUGCUGCACACCAGGAACCUGAAGCCUUGAGAGAUGACUUGAUCACCACAACUCUAUUAUAGGACCUAAAAGGACCUCUGAGAUUGGAAGAUGAUUGCAUCUCUCUGCUCUAUUACAGCAAACAGUGAACCUCCAGGGCCAAGGGAUAAAUGCACUGUCUCUGGAGUAUUAUAGAACUUAAAAAGCAUCACUCACUGACUCACAGCUGUCUUCCCCCCUCCACCACCACCACCUUCAACUUAUUUCAGCAUCCAGCCACCUCCUGCACUGAGAGUCCUCAUCACCUAUUGGUGCAUCUUGUUGAGAGCAGAGAUCAGGGUUAAUUUAUCCUGGCUUGCUCCUUAAGUGGGACAUCAUCAAGCUGAGGAGUUUCUUCAAAUACUACUUCAAAG
This 797-nucleotide long non-coding RNA is filed under the name Apteryx owenii (little spotted kiwi). RNAcentral's name for it is "lncRNA (ENSAOWG00000010306.1)". Lineage: Eukaryota; Metazoa; Chordata; Aves; Apterygiformes; Apterygidae. The record is from RNAcentral.